CUGCCCUCAAGCCCGGCUUGUGUGUUGGGCCCCGUCCCCCGAUCCCGGGGGACAGGCCCGAAAGGCAGCGGCGGCACCGCGUCCGGUCCUCGAGCGUAUGGGGCUUUGUCACCCGCUCUGUAGGCCCGGCCGGCGCCUGCCACCAACCCAAAUUUUUUUAUCCAGG
Molecule: unclassified non-coding RNA, 166 nt
Filed under: uncultured Penicillium
Lineage: Eukaryota; Fungi; Ascomycota; Eurotiomycetes; Eurotiales; Aspergillaceae
Description: sequence contains ITS2
Source: RNAcentral